This is a non-coding RNA of Salmo salar (Atlantic salmon), 54 nucleotides long. NCBI's taxonomy places the organism in Eukaryota, Metazoa, Chordata, Actinopteri, Salmoniformes, Salmonidae. The record is from Rfam.
UACUCUCACUACUGUAAGCCGCUCUGGAUAAGAGCGUCUGCUAAAUGACUCAAA